UGCUCUAUUGAAGAAGGUUUCGAAGGAUGCAGUAACUGUAGCAUGCUUGGGAGGGAUUUGGUACGUUUCGCUAGUUCGGAGUGGUGCAGUGAUUGUGAUGGAUUGGCUAAAUCCCUAGCUAUGGCGGGCUUGGGUUCCUCAGUAGAUGGGUUAUGGAAUGGUAGCAAAGAUCGGGAUCUCUUUGAGUAUUGAGCAGCAAGGGGUAAGCAGGAUCGAAGUGGGGGAGAAUCCUCCGGGUGUGCCCAGAGAGGAGCACGCAGACCCAGAACGAGUACGUGACCUCCGAGAGGGAAGAGAAGUAGUUCAACGUUUGAUGGAUUGAGGAUUCCAGGGUUGGGAGUUUGAGAAACUCCAUAUCAGCUAGCGCGUGGGAUGGUAUGGUUGGUUAUGAUUGAGAAUUCAGAUUGUGGAUCGCCUGAAGGACUCGCGGGAGUCGGAAUAAGGAUCUUGAGAAGUCGAUGGCACGUGGGUGCCUUCGUAUUAGCAGUCAGUGGUAGGGAUGUAAGACUACGGGUAAGCCGUAGCAUUCCUUAGUAGUUUCGUUAGCAGGAGUCGGGGCGAGGCCCUUAUCUCCUAGUGAUCAGGUAGGGAUCAGGAAUGGGUAGUGGAUGAGAGUAGUAGGGAGUUGCCUGUAUAGCUCUAGAGAGGUGAGACCUUGGGAGAGGCCGCUCCAGGAUAUAGUUGGGUGAGACCCGUGGGCGAGGCCCGUAUGAGAUUAGCAGUGCAGGUGAGACCUGGGAGCAGGGUUGCUCAGUAGUAUGGUUGGGUGAGACCCGAGGGCGAGACCCGUGAGUUUUUAGCAGCGCAGGUGGGACCUGGUGAGGACCUUAGUGUCAAGAUAGGGGAUCGGGGAUCCCGAGUUUGUAUCAUUUGCAUACCUUGGAUAUUUGUAUGGUAGUUAGGGGGGUUGUGCUCUAUUAAAGAAGGUUUCGAAGGAUGCAGUAACUGUAGCAUGCUUGGGAGGGAUUUGGUUCGUUUCGUUAGUUCGGAGUGGUGCAGUGAUUGUGAUGGAUUGGCUAAAGCCCUAGCUAUGGCAGGGCUUGGGUUCCUCAGUGGAUGGGUUAUGGAAUGGUAGCGAAGAGCAGGAUCUCUUUGAGUUUUGAGCAACAAGGGGUAAGCAGGAUCGAAGUGGGGGAGAAUUCUCCGGGUGUGCCCAGGGAGGAGCACACAGACUCAGAAUGAGUGCGUGACCUCCGAGAGGGAAGAGAGAGGUAGUUCAGCGUUUGUGGGAUUGAGGAUUUCAGGGUCGGGAGUUUCAGAAACUCCAUAUCAGCUAGCGCGUGGGAUGGUAUGGUUGGUUAUGAUUGAGAAUUCAGAUUGUGGAUCGCCUGAAGGACUCACGGAAGUCGGAAUAAGGAUCUUGAGAAGUCAAUGGCACGUGGGUGCCUUUGUAUUAGCAGUCAGUGGUAGGGAGUGUUGUAAGACUACGGGGCAGCCGUAGCAUUCACUAGCAGUCGGCAAUGAAUGGUGAUGUAAGACUACGGGUAAGCCGUAGCAUUCCUUAGUAGUUUCGUUAGCGGAGUCGGGGCGAGGCCCUUAUCUCCUAGUGAUCAGGUAGGGAUCAGGAUCGGGUAGUGGAUGAGAAUGUUAGGGAGUUGCCUGUAUAGCUCUAGAGAGGUGAGACCUUGGGAGAGGCCGCUCCAGGAUAUAGUUGGGUGAGACCCGUGGGCGAGGCCCGUAUGAGAUUAGCGGUGCAGGUGAGACCUGGGAGCAGGGUUGCUCAGUAGUAUGGUUGGGUGAGACCCGAGGGCGAGACCCGUGAGUUUUUAGCAGCGCAGGUGGGACCUGGUGAGGACCUUAGUGUCAAGAUAGGGGAUCGGGGAUCCCGAGUUUGUAGUGCCUGGAUAGCAGGACUGAUUGAGCAGUUAUAGAUGGUCGAGGUAUUCUCGGUAGUCGCUGAGAGCGACCAGGGAUGGUAUUGGGUUUAGCUACCGGUGGGAGCCGGUAAUCCAGU
RNAcentral lists this long non-coding RNA (1954 nucleotides) under Lactuca sativa (garden lettuce). RNAcentral's name for it is "long non-coding RNA (LSAT_LNC006727)". The record is from RNAcentral. Lineage: Eukaryota; Viridiplantae; Streptophyta; Magnoliopsida; Asterales; Asteraceae.